Molecule: transfer RNA, 64 nt
Filed under: Hydrophilidae sp. BMNH 1274343
Lineage: Eukaryota; Metazoa; Arthropoda; Insecta; Coleoptera; Hydrophilidae
Description: tRNA-Ile
Source: RNAcentral
AAUAUGGUGCCUGAUAAAAGGAAUAUUUUGAUAGAAUAGAUUAUGUGAGAUUUCACCCUUAUUA